AGCGUACACGGUGGAUGCCCUGGCAGUCAGAGGCGAUGAAGGACGUGCUAAUCUGCGAUAAGCGUCGGUGAGGUGAUAUGAACCGUUAUAACCGGCGAUUUCCGAAUGGGGAAACCCAGUGUGUUUCGACACACUAUCAUUAACUGAAUCCAUAGGUUAAUGAGGCGAACCGGGGGAACUGAAACAUCUAAGUACCCCGAGGAAAAGAAAUCAACCGAGAUUCCCCCAGUAGCGGCGAGCGAACGGGGAGGAGCCCAGAGCCUGAAUCAGUGUGUGUGUUAGUGGAAGCGUCUGGAAAGGCGUGCGAUACAGGGUGACAGCCCCGUACACAAAAAUGCACAUAUUGUGAGCUCGAUGAGUAGGGCGGGACACGUGGUAUCCUGUCUGAAUAUGGGGGGACCAUCCUCCAAGGCUAAAUACUCCUGACUGACCGAUAGUGAACCAGUACCGUGAGGGAAAGGCGAAAAGAACCCCGGCGAGGGGAGUGAAAAAGAACCUGAAACCGUGUACGUACAAGCAGUGGGAGCCUCUUAAUGGGGUGACUGCGUACCUUUUGUAUAAUGGGUCAGCGACUUAUAUUCUGUAGCAAGGUUAACCGAAUAGGGGAGCCGAAGGGAAACCGAGUCUUAACUGGGCGUUAAGUUGCAGGGUAUAGACCCGAAACCCGGUGAUCUAGCCAUGGGCAGGUUGAAGGUUGGGUAACACUAACUGGAGGACCGAACCGACUAAUGUUGAAAAAUUAGCGGAUGACUUGUGGCUGGGGGUGAAAGGCCAAUCAAACCGGGAGAUAGCUGGUUCUCCCCGAAAGCUAUUUAGGUAGCGCCUCGUGAAUUCAUCUCCGGGGGUAGAGCACUGUUUCGGCAAGGGGGUCAUCCCGACUUACCAACCCGAUGCAAACUGCGAAUACCGGAGAAUGUUAUCACGGGAGACACACGGCGGGUGCUAACGUCCGUCGUGAAGAGGGAAACAACCCAGACCGCCAGCUAAGGUCCCAAAGUCAUGGUUAAGUGGGAAACGAUGUGGGAAGGCCCAGACAGCCAGGAUGUUGGCUUAGAAGCAGCCAUCAUUUAAAGAAAGCGUAAUAGCUCACUGGUCGAGUCGGCCUGCGCGGAAGAUGUAACGGGGCUAAACCAUGCACCGAAGCUGCGGCAGCGACGCUUAUGCGUUGUUGGGUAGGGGAGCGUUCUGUAAGCCUGUGAAGGUGUGCUGUGAGGCAUGCUGGAGGUAUCAGAAGUGCGAAUGCUGACAUAAGUAACGAUAAAGCGGGUGAAAAGCCCGCUCGCCGGAAGACCAAGGGUUCCUGUCCAACGUUAAUCGGGGCAGGGUGAGUCGACCCCUAAGGCGAGGCCGAAAGGCGUAGUCGAUGGGAAACAGGUUAAUAUUCCUGUACUUGGUGUUACUGCGAAGGGGGGACGGAGAAGGCUAUGUUGGCCGGGCGACGGUUGUCCCGGUUUAAGCGUGUAGGCUGAUUUUCCAGGCAAAUCCGGAAAAUCAAGGCUGAGGCGUGAUGACGAGGCACUACGGUGCUGAAGCAACAAAUGCCCUGCUUCCAGGAAAAGCCUCUAAGCAUCAGGUAACAUCAAAUCGUACCCCAAACCGACACAGGUGGUCAGGUAGAGAAUACCAAGGCGCUUGAGAGAACUCGGGUGAAGGAACUAGGCAAAAUGGUGCCGUAACUUCGGGAGAAGGCACGCUGAUAUGUAGGUGAAGCGACUUGCUCGUGGAGCUGAAAUCAGUCGAAGAUACCAGCUGGCUGCAACUGUUUAUUAAAAACACAGCACUGUGCAAACACGAAAGUGGACGUAUACGGUGUGACGCCUGCCCGGUGCCGGAAGGUUAAUUGAUGGGGUUAGCGGCAACGCGAAGCUCUUGAUCGAAGCCCCGGUAAACGGCGGCCGUAACUAUAACGGUCCUAAGGUAGCGAAAUUCCUUGUCGGGUAAGUUCCGACCUGCACGAAUGGCGUAAUGAUGGCCAGGCUGUCUCCACCCGAGACUCAGUGAAAUUGAACUCGCUGUGAAGAUGCAGUGUACCCGCGGCAAGACGGAAAGACCCCGUGAACCUUUACUAUAGCUUGACACUGAACAUUGAGCCUUGAUGUGUAGGAUAGGUGGGAGGCUUUGAAGUGUGGACGCCAGUCUGCAUGGAGCCGACCUUGAAAUACCACCCUUUAAUGUUUGAUGUUCUAACGUUGGCCCGUAAUCCGGGUUGCGGACAGUGUCUGGUGGGUAGUUUGACUGGGGCGGUCUCCUCCUAAAGAGUAACGGAGGAGCACGAAGGUUGGCUAAUCCUGGUCGGACAUCAGGAGGUUAGUGCAAUGGCAUAAGCCAGCUUGACUGCGAGCGUGACGGCGCGAGCAGGUGCGAAAGCAGGUCAUAGUGAUCCGGUGGUUCUGAAUGGAAGGGCCAUCGCUCAACGGAUAAAAGGUACUCCGGGGAUAACAGGCUGAUACCGCCCAAGAGUUCAUAUCGACGGCGGUGUUUGGCACCUCGAUGUCGGCUCAUCACAUCCUGGGGCUGAAGUAGGUCCCAAGGGUAUGGCUGUUCGCCAUUUAAAGUGGUACGCGAGCUGGGUUUAGAACGUCGUGAGACAGUUCGGUCCCUAUCUGCCGUGGGCGCUGGAGAACUGAGGGGGGCUGCUCCUAGUACGAGAGGACCGGAGUGGACGCAUCACUGGUGUUCGGGUUGUCAUGCCAAUGGCACUGCCCGGUAGCUAAAUGCGGAAGAGAUAAGUGCUGAAAGCAUCUAAGCACGAAACUUGCCCCGAGAUGAGUUCU
Molecule: ribosomal RNA, 2774 nt
Filed under: Escherichia coli 6-175-07_S3_C1
Lineage: Bacteria; Pseudomonadati; Pseudomonadota; Gammaproteobacteria; Enterobacterales; Enterobacteriaceae
Description: bacterial LSU rRNA
Rfam family: Bacterial large subunit ribosomal RNA
Source: RNAcentral